AGAGCCCAAUAUCCAGGCAAAGAUACAGAGUCAAGGUAUGUUGGAACAGCUCUGUCCAUGGAGGAUUCCCAGCUCUUCCUACAGUUUGCAUACUUCCCAGGGCUAUACUUAUUUUCUUAUGUGGGAAUUGCAGGAACACACAGGCCCCACAGGUACCGUGGUGCCUCCUGGCUACUCCAACCAGCCUUAUCAGAGCCCUCACCCUUCUACCAACCCUUUGUAGAUCCUAUGUACCACCUGCAACAGUGGCUCAGUGGCUAUGUGUACCAGCAGGCCUUAACCUAUAAGUAUGGCCUGAGCUCCACUCAAAGAUUUUCACACCUGAAACUGUGGCAAACACCCAUAGGUACUAAGACUCCACUGAAUACUCACUCCUUCAGGCAUUCAAUCAACUGUCAUCCCACCUGAGCAAAAGCAGCAGCAGAAACAGCAGUAGCAGGACCACAUCUGAUGACCGCAGCAGCAACAGCAACAGUGACAG
This 481-nucleotide long non-coding RNA is filed under the name Homo sapiens (human). RNAcentral's name for it is "non-protein coding lnc-CD36-8:1". The record is from RNAcentral. Lineage: Eukaryota; Metazoa; Chordata; Mammalia; Primates; Hominidae.